AUUGAACGCUGGCGGCAGGCUUAACACAUGCAAGUCGAGCGGGGUGAUGGUGCUUGCACUAUCACUUAGCGGCGGACGGGUGAGUAAUGCUUAGGAAUCUGCCUAUUAGUGGGGGACGACAUCUCGAAAGGGAUACUAAUACCGCAUACGUCCUACGGGAGAAAGCAGGGGAUCACUUGUGACCUUGCGCUAAUAGAUGAGCCUAAGUCGGAUUAGCUAGUUGGUGGGGUAAAGGCCUACCAAGGCGACGAUCUGUAGCGGGUCUGAGAGGAUGAUCCGCCACACUGGGACUGAGACACGGCCCAGACUCCUACGGGAGGCAGCAGUGGGGAAUAUUGGACAAUGGGGGGAACCCUGAUCCAGCCAUGCCGCGUGUGUGAAGAAGGCCUUAUGGUCGUAAAGCACUUUAAGCGAGGAGGAGGCUCUUUUGGUUAAUACCCAAGAUGAGUGGACGUUACUCGCAGAAUAAGCACCGGCUAACUCUGUGCCAGCCGCCGCCGUAA
RNAcentral lists this ribosomal RNA (503 nucleotides) under uncultured bacterium. RNAcentral describes it as "partial 16S ribosomal RNA". It matches the Rfam family "Bacterial small subunit ribosomal RNA", at positions 30 to 523 of the family's 1533-position model. The record is from RNAcentral.